GGAAAAGGAUGUGGGAUUUCGAAGACAACUAGGAUGUUGGCUCAGAAGCAGCCAUACAUUCAAAGAGUGCGUAACAGCUCACUAGUCGAGAGUCCCUGCGCCGAAAAUGUCCGGGGCUGAAACACAACACCGAAGCCGUGGACUCCGUAAGGAGUGGUAGAGGAGCAUUCUUAAAACCGACGAAGCUGUACCGGUAAGGAGCAGUGGAGGGAUAAGAAGAGAGAAUGCCGGAAUGAGUAGCGAGAGGAAGGUGGGAAUCCUUCCGGCCGAAUAUCUAAGGUUUCCAGAGUAAAGCUGAUCUGCUCUGGGUAAGUCGGGGCCUAAGGAGAGGUCGAAAGACGUAUCCGAUGGACAACAGGUUUAGAUUCCUGUACCACAUAUAAACAGAACUGUGGGGACGCAUGUGGAAAGCAUAAGCCGGGAAUGGAAAGACCGGUACAAGCGGGGUAGGUGUGUGACAGGCAAAUCCGUCAUAUAAGCCGAAGACGUGAUGUGGAGCGAAAUUAAGUAGUGAAGUAUGUGAGCCAUGUGCCGAGAAAAGCCGCUAUUGUUUUAUAUGUGCCCGUACCGUAAACCGACACAGGUGGAUGAGGAGAGAAUCCUAAGGCCGACGGAAGAAGCAUUGUUAAGGAACUCGGCAAAAUGACCCCGUAACUUCGGGAGAAGGGGUGCCCUGUGAAAGCAGGGCCGCAGAGAAUAGGCUCAAGCAACUGUUUAGCAAAAACACAGGUCUAUGCGAAACCGAAAGGUGAGGUAUAUGGGCUGACGCCUGCCCGGUGCUGGAAGGUUAAGAGGAGAGGUUAGCGCAAGCGAAGCUUUGAAUUUAAGCCCCAGUAAACGGCGGCCGUAACUAUAACGGUCCUAAGGUAGCGAAAUUCCUUGUCGGGUAAGUUCCGACCCGCACGAAAGGCGUAAUGAUUUGAGCACUGUCUCGACAAUGCAUCCGGUGAAAUUGAAGUACCAGUGAAGAUGCUGGUUACCCGCGCCAGGACGGAAAGACCCCAUGGAGCUUUACUCCAGUUUGGUACUGGGAUUCGGUACUGCAUGUACAGGAUAGGUGGGAGACUGAGAAAUUGGAACGCCAGUUUCAAUGGAGUCACUGUUGGGAUACCACCCCUGCAGUAUUGGGUUUCUAACCAGCCGCUGUGAUCCAGCGGUGGGACAAUGCCAGGCGGGGAGUUUGACUGGGGCGGUCGCCUCCGAAAGGGUAUCGGAGGCGCUCAAAGGUUCCCUCAGAAUGGUUGGAAACCAUUCGAAGAGUGCAAAGGCAGAAGGGAGCUUGACUGCGACACCGACGGGUGGAGCAGGUACGAAAGUAGGACUUAGUGAUCCGGUGGUAUAAAGUGGGAUUGCCAUCGCUCAACGGAUAAAAGCUACCCUGGGGAUAACAGGCUUAUCACUCCCAAGAGUUCACAUCGACGGAGUGGUUUGGCACCUCGAUGUCGGCUCAUCGCAUCCUGGGGCUGUAGCAGGUCCCAAGGGUUGGGCUGUUCGCCCAUUAAAGCGGUACGCGAGCUGGGUUCAGAACGUCGUGAGACAGUUCGGUCCCUAUCCGGCGCGGGCGUAGGAUAUUUGAGAGGAGCUGUCCUUAGUACGAGAGGACCGGGGUGGACUGGCCUCUGGUGUAUCUGUUGAGCUAUCAAGCUCAUGGCAGAGUAGCCAAGCCGGGACGGGAUAAACGCUGAAGGCAUCUAAGCGUGAAGCCCCCCUCAAGAUGAGAUAUCCCUCAGAAAUGAGUAAGACCCCUUGA
Molecule: ribosomal RNA, 1750 nt
Filed under: human gut metagenome
Description: bacterial LSU rRNA
Rfam family: Bacterial large subunit ribosomal RNA
Source: RNAcentral